UGUGAAUUGCAGAAUCCCGCGAACCAUCGAGUCUUUGAACGCAAGUUGCGCCCGAAGCCGUCAGGCCGAGGGCACGCCUGCCUGGGCGUCUCGCAACGCGUCGCCCCCCAACCCCCGCGCUGGGUGGGCGGACAUUGGCCCCCCGCGAGCUGCGUCUCGCGGUCGGUCUAAAAACCGAGUCGCCGGCGACGGACGGCACGGCGAGCGGUGGAUUACGACGCGCGCCCCUGACAGGGUGCGCCCUGCGCCGUGCCGCGCCCGUCGCCACGGGCGGCCUCGCGACCUCGAAGAGCAUCGAUCGCGACCCCAGGUCAGGCGGGAUCACCCGCUGAGUUUAAGCAUA
RNAcentral lists this ribosomal RNA (343 nucleotides) under Chytroma poiteaui. RNAcentral describes it as "eukaryotic LSU rRNA". The stretch from base 1 to 91 matches the Rfam family "5.8S ribosomal RNA", at positions 66 to 154 of the family's 154-position model. Lineage: Eukaryota; Viridiplantae; Streptophyta; Magnoliopsida; Ericales; Lecythidaceae. The record is from RNAcentral.